UGAACGCUAGCGGCAGGCCUAACACAUGCAAGUCGAGCGGAUGACAGGAGCUUGCUCCUGAAUUCAGCGGCGGACGGGUGAGUAAUGCCUAGGAAUCUGCCUGGUAGUGGGGGACAACGUCUCGAAAGGGACGCUAAUACCGCAUACGUCCUACGGGAGAAAGUGGGGGAUCUUCGGACCUCACGCUAUCAGAUGAGCCUAGGUCGGAUUAGCUAGUUGGUGAGGUAAUGGCUCACCAAGGCGACGAUCCGUAACUGGUCUGAGAGGAUGAUCAGUCACACCGGAACUGAGACACGGUCCAGACUGCUACGGGAGGCAGCAGUGGGGAAUAUUGCACAAUGGGCGCAAGCCUGAUGCAGCCAUGCCGCGUGUAUGAAGAAGGCCUUCGGGUUGUAAAGUACUUUCAGCGGGGAGGA
Molecule: ribosomal RNA, 416 nt
Filed under: Heterosigma akashiwo
Lineage: Eukaryota; Raphidophyceae; Chattonellales; Chattonellaceae
Description: partial Bacterial small subunit ribosomal RNA
Rfam family: Bacterial small subunit ribosomal RNA
Source: RNAcentral